Molecule: ribosomal RNA, 253 nt
Filed under: uncultured bacterium
Lineage: Bacteria
Description: partial 16S ribosomal RNA
Rfam family: Bacterial small subunit ribosomal RNA
Source: RNAcentral
UACGAAGGGUGCAAACGUUGCUCGGAAUCAUUGGGCGUAAAGCGCACGUAGGCGGCUUGCCAAGUCGGACGUGAAAUCCCUCAGCUCAACUGAGGACGUGCAUCCGAAACUGGCGAGCUUGAGUACUGAAGAGGAUCGCGGAAUUCCCGGUGUAGAGGUGAAAUUCGUAGAUAUCGGGAGGAACACCGGUGGCGAAGGCGGGUCUCUGGGCCGAUACUGACGCUGAGGAGCGAAAGCGUGGGGAGCGAACAGG